AUUAAUUUCGAACGUGCUCUGAAGAGUGAUCUGUCGUGAUAGAACUGAGGAACAGGUCUGAGAAAACUCUGUCUGUGAGCUACAUUCAAGAGAGAGAUUCCUUUGUGGUAUCAUAGAGUGACGUCAUAACCGCUGAUGUCAUUGAUACCAUUGGAACUGAACAUUCUGACACACUGUGUAACCACUAUUACACAUGGGAUUAUUGUGGCCCUUUAAAAUGAAGCUUACUGAAAAUUUGAAAAUAAAAGCCUCUAUAAUCCUCUCAAGUUAGUGCACUGUCUAAGGCAGUGCACUAAUAUUAGCCUUUACCAUAAAAUAAAAAUCCCCCAGGUUAGUGCACUGCCUUGUGCAAUAUUCCUCCGCUAGAGUAAGAAACAGAGUGAAUUUCUGACCCCAAAACAGUUUUAACUCACCCUCACGCCCACAAAUAUGGCUCUAUUGGUAUUAUAGUCGGUCAUGAUGACACCAUCUCUAUCUCAUCGCUGCUAUUACUGUGAGUGAGGUACAGAUAUGAAUCUACUACUAUCAAAGACGUGAAAUAGCUCUCUCGCACCCUCCAAUGGUUUUUGAAUAAGUCUCACGGUUCCUGAACAGGAAGGAGUUGUUCAGACUGCUUUUUCCAGAAAAACUGACUGUGUCUCACAAAGAUAGAAUUCUUUCUCCACCUUUCUGUCUCAUACACAUAACAUUUGGCUGAGGGAAGAGCUGCCCUUUAGAACUACAAUGAUGGCUGAAGGUUAGAACUACAUUAAUGGCGUAACACUGAAUUACUAGAGAGGAGGGCUAAGUUUGCAGUUAAGAACUACAAUGAUGGUGGAACUCUGAGUUACUACAGAAGGAGGUUGAGCAGAAUGUUAGAACUACAAACAUGGCAGAAUGUUUUGGGCAUUUUAUAACUGAUUUAACCCAACCAUUGUUACUCAUAGGAAUAGUGUAGCCAUUUAAAAUAAAGCUUACUGGAAAUUUCAAAAAUAAAGCAAGGCAAGUGAAUUAAAACAUUAGUACAAACUUUAGAACAAGCAUUAGCAUUUCACUGCCCCCAUUAGCAUUAGCCUUUUCCCUAAAAAAAAAGCUUUUAGCUUUUAGUUAUUUAUUAGCAACGCUUAGUACACUGAAUGGAGUAAGUCAAUGUAAGACAACAUGCUAGUGAUGCCCCACAUGCUACUGACAACAUUUAGGCUAAUGUUAGAAAUAUGGCUCAUUUUAACUUGUACACUAAUUUCAACAUACUGAAUGGCAUAAGUCCAUGUUACUCAACAUGCUUGUGACUCUCCACAUGCUACUGAGUACAUUGCAGCUUACUUUAGCAUUGAUGCUCAUUUGUAGCAUCAGAACGCUGGGUUCCAACCAACGGGCACACUUUUGGCAGGCCCUGUUUAAAUUUCUUCCGAAAUUUUCUAGUUUUAGUUCUGCUAUUUGUUUUCCGCUCUGUGCUGAGGCUCAUCUUAAAUCACUGAUUGAUUCAUGACUUUUCUAAAAUAUGGAGAAAUAAAAUGAGUCAGGGUUGCACUCCUCGAUCCACAACUUCUGCUUAUCUUAGGUCAGAUCACAAAGGUUGAUGGCUGAUUACCGAUGUUUAAAAAGGCUGACUUGUCGAUUCCAAAUUUGGACGAUACCACUUUGUUUCGUCUGAAAUGUCUCUAAAUAUAGCAAGAAAGUUACUGAUUGGAAACAGUGCGGUGACUAUUAACUGCAAGCAUUCAGGCAUCACCUGGUGGG
Molecule: long non-coding RNA, 1719 nt
Organism: Xiphophorus couchianus (Monterrey platyfish)
Lineage: Eukaryota; Metazoa; Chordata; Actinopteri; Cyprinodontiformes; Poeciliidae
Exons: 3
Source: RefSeq, a predicted model, not a curated record